This 738-nucleotide long non-coding RNA is filed under the name Chinchilla lanigera (long-tailed chinchilla). RNAcentral's name for it is "lncRNA (ENSCLAG00000028581.1)". The record is from RNAcentral. Lineage: Eukaryota; Metazoa; Chordata; Mammalia; Rodentia; Chinchillidae.
CCAGUCUAAACUGCAUAGUGAGACCCUGCCUCAAAAAUAAAAAUAAAACAAAAUAAAAUAAAAUAAAAAAGCUCAGUUGCAAAGCAAAAUUUAGAACAAAAGUUUACAGAUACCAAUUUUAGUACACUUUUUCUGAUUAGUGUGCUAUGUUCUGGUUUCUGUUAUUAAAGAUGAAGUGUAACAGCAAAAUGCUCUUACUUUGGAAACACAAGAAGGUCAAGAAGAAAACUGUGUCCACUGUUGUAGAGUAGCUAGCGCUUUCUAGAAGAUUCACGGCAUAUUCAGUGUCUCCUGUGGACAAAGACAGUUCAAACCACCGUUCAUUCUUAGUGUUAAACCGGGUUAAAACACUAAUUUCUUCUCACGACAGGCUGAAUCUAAGGACGAAGAAAACUAGCCUGGAGGAAUGGCUGCGGGUCAGCAGUGUAGAGGUGACCAGGGAAGACACAGGACAGAAUGAGCUAAUCCAGAACAAUGUACUACAGAAAGAAGACAGAGAUUACAACAUGCAAAAACUGACCACUAUUUGCUACUUCUGCGAACAGUUUGGCAACUGCAGCCUCCCCAGUUCUGAGGCCAACAACUUGUUCAUUUGGUAAGCAAUCUCUUCUUCACCCUGAAGUACAUGCAACCUUUGUUGGUGUAGUUUCUGUAACACACUUAAAUCCAUUUUCUUUCAUUUUAUAGUCUUUUUCAAAGAGAUCUUCAAAGUUUUGCAAUUUGAGGGUCCAUUUGAUA